RNAcentral lists this ribosomal RNA (492 nucleotides) under uncultured bacterium. RNAcentral's name for it is "partial 16S ribosomal RNA". It matches the Rfam family "Bacterial small subunit ribosomal RNA", at positions 29 to 507 of the family's 1533-position model. The record is from RNAcentral.
AGUGAACGCUGGCGGUAGGCCUAACACAUGCAAGUCGAACGGCAGCACAGUAAGAGCUUGCUCUUACGGGUGGCGAGUGGCGGACGGGUGAGGAAUACAUCGGAAUCUACUUUUUCGUGGGGGAUAACGUAGGGAAACUUACGCUAAUACCGCAUACGACCUACGGGUGAAAGCAGGGGAUCUUCGGACCUUGCGCGAUUGAAUGAGCCGAUGUCGGAUUAGCUAGUUGGCGGGGUAAAGGCCCACCAAGGCGACGAUCCGUAGCUGGUCUGAGAGGAUGAUCAGCCACACGGGAACUGAGACACGGUCCAGACUACUACGGGAGGCAGCAGUGGGGAAUAUUGGACAAUGGGCGCAAGCCUGAUCCAGCCAUACCGCGUGGGUGAAGAAGGCCUUCGGGUUGUAAAGCCCUUUUGUUGGGAAAGAAAAGCAGCAGGUUAAUACCCCGCUGUUCUGACGGUACCCAAAGAAUAAGCACCGGCUAACUUCGUG